AUGGUCAAGCGCAGCAGGGCAUACGGGGGAUGCCUAGGCGCUCGCGGGCGAGGAAGGGCGUAGUACGCUGCGAAAAGCUUCGGGGAGCCGCGUACAGGCGGAGAGCCGGAGA
RNAcentral lists this ribosomal RNA (112 nucleotides) under bacterium. RNAcentral describes it as "partial 23S ribosomal RNA". It matches the Rfam family "Bacterial large subunit ribosomal RNA", at positions 1 to 110 of the family's 2925-position model. The record is from RNAcentral.